Molecule: non-coding RNA, 97 nt
Organism: Spinacia oleracea (spinach)
Lineage: Eukaryota; Viridiplantae; Streptophyta; Magnoliopsida; Caryophyllales; Amaranthaceae
Source: Rfam
AUGGAAAUGAUGAUUAUUUCCCCAGAUGAUCGACUUUGAAAUCACUGAGCGUUUUAAAUUCUCAUUUAUGGGAAUUCAAGCCAGAUUUCUGAUCCGU